AACGAACGCUGGCGGCGCGCCUAAUACAUGCAAGUCGAGCGAGAAGACGUAGCAAUACGUUUAGUAAAGCGGCGAACGGGUGAGGAAUACAUGGGUAACCUACCCUCGAGUGGGGAAUAACUAGCCGAAAGGUUAGCUAAUACCGCGUACGCUCCUUGGACUUCGGUUCAGGGAGGAAAGCGAUACCGUGGGUAUCGCGCUCUUGGAUGGGCUCAUGUCCUAUCAGCUUGUUGGUGAGGUAACGGCUCACCAAGGCUUCGA
Molecule: ribosomal RNA, 261 nt
Filed under: uncultured bacterium
Lineage: Bacteria
Description: partial 16S ribosomal RNA
Rfam family: Bacterial small subunit ribosomal RNA
Source: RNAcentral